RNAcentral lists this ribosomal RNA (252 nucleotides) under uncultured bacterium. Its description in RNAcentral is "partial 16S ribosomal RNA". It matches the Rfam family "Bacterial small subunit ribosomal RNA", at positions 524 to 776 of the family's 1533-position model. The record is from RNAcentral.
UACGUAGGGGGCUAGCGUUAUCCGGAAUUACUGGGCGUAAAGGGUGCGUAGGUGGUUUCUUAAGUCAGAGGUGAAAGGCUACGGCUCAACCGUAGUAAGCCUUUGAAACUGGGAAACUUGAGUGCAGGAGAGGAGAGUGGAAUUCCUAGUGUAGCGGUGAAAUGCGUAGAGAUUAGGAAGAACACCAGUGGCGAAGGCGAUUCUCUGGACUGUAACUGACGCUGAGGCUCGAAAGCGUGGGGAGCAAACAGG